AGUGAACGCUGGCGGUAGGCCUAACACAUGCAAGUCGAACGGCAGCACAGUAAGAGCUUGCUCUUACGGGUGGCGAGUGGCGGACGGGUGAGGAAUACAUCGGAAUCUACUUUUUCGUGGGGAUAACGUAGGGAAACUUACGCUAAUACCGCAUACGACCUACGGGUGAAAGCAGGGGAUCUUCGGACCUUGCGCGAUUGAUUGAGCCGAUGUCGGAUUAGCUAGUUGGCGGGGUAAAGGCCCACCAAGGCGACGAUCCGUAGCUGGUCUGAGAGGAUGAUCAGCCACACUGGAACUGAGACACGGUCCAGACUCCUACGGGAGGCAGCAGUGGGGAAUAUUGGACAAUGGGCGCAAGCCUGAUCCAGCCAUACCGCGUGGGUGAAGAAGGCCUUCGGGUUGUAAAGCCCUUUUGUUGGGAAAGAAAAGCAGCAGGUUAAUACCCCGCUGUUCUGACGGUACCCAAAGAAUAAGCACCGGCUAACUUCGUG
RNAcentral lists this ribosomal RNA (491 nucleotides) under uncultured bacterium. RNAcentral describes it as "partial 16S ribosomal RNA". It matches the Rfam family "Bacterial small subunit ribosomal RNA", at positions 29 to 507 of the family's 1533-position model. The record is from RNAcentral.